This 410-nucleotide ribosomal RNA is filed under the name uncultured microorganism. RNAcentral's name for it is "bacterial SSU rRNA". It matches the Rfam family "Archaeal small subunit ribosomal RNA", at positions 330 to 745 of the family's 1478-position model. The record is from RNAcentral.
GUGCACCAGUCGAGAAACUUUACAAUGUGCGAAAGCACGAUAAGGGAACUCUGAGUGCCUCCUAAGGAGGCUGUUCUGAUGUCUAAAAAGCAACAGAAGUAAGGGCUGGGUAAGACCGGUGCCAGCCGCCGCGGUAACACCGGCAGCCCAAGUGGUAGCCACGUUUAUUGGGUCUAAAGCGUUCGUAGCCGGCCAGGUAAGUUCCUUGGUAAAUUUAGCCGCUUAACGGUUAAGCUUUCAGGGAAUACUGCUUGGCUUGGGACUGGGGAGAGGUCAGAGGUACUCCGGGGGUAGGGGUGAAAUCUAUUAAUCCCUGGGGGACCACCGGUAGCGAAGGCGUCUGACCAGACCAGGUCCGACGGUGAGGGACGAAGGCUAGGGGCGCGAACCGGAUUAGAUACCCCCGUAGU